UACAGAGGGUGCAAGCGUUAAUCGGAAUUACUGGGCGUAAAGGGCGCGUAGGCGGUUAUGUAAGUUAGAUGUGAAAUCCCCGGGCUUAACCUGGGAACUGCAUUUAAUACUGCAUGGCUAGAGUAGAGUAGAGGGAAGUGGAAUUUCCGGUGUAGCGGUGAAAUGCGUAGAUAUCGGAAAGAACAUCAGUGGCGAAGGCGGCUUCCUGGACUCAUACUGACGCUGAGGCGCGAAAGCGUGGGGAGCAAACAGG
This 253-nucleotide ribosomal RNA is filed under the name uncultured bacterium. RNAcentral's name for it is "partial 16S ribosomal RNA". It matches the Rfam family "Bacterial small subunit ribosomal RNA", at positions 524 to 776 of the family's 1533-position model. The record is from RNAcentral.